UUUAUUCUUCGGAAUAGAGAGAGCGGCGUACGGGUGCGUAACACGUGUGCAACCUGCCUUUAUCUGGGAGAUAGCCCUCCGAAAGGGGGAUUAAUAUUCCAUAAUAUCUCGUUGGGCAUCCAACGAGAUUGAAAGCUCCGGCGGAUAGAGAUGGGCACGCGCAAGAUUAGAUAGUUGGUGAGGUAACGGCUCACCAAGUCUGCGAUCUUUAGGGGGCCUGAGAGGGUGAUCCCCCACACUGGUACUGAGACACGGACCAGACUCCUACGGGAGGCAGCAGUGAGGAAUAUUGGACAAUGGGUGCAAGCCUGAUCCAGCCAUCCCGCGUGAAGGAUUAAGGUCCUAUGGAUUGUAAACUUCUUUUAUACAGGGAUAAACCUCUCCUCGUGAGGAGAGCUGAAGGUACUGUAUGAAUAAGCACCGGCUAACUCCGUGCCAGCAGCCGCGGUAAUA
This 453-nucleotide ribosomal RNA is filed under the name uncultured bacterium. RNAcentral describes it as "bacterial SSU rRNA". It matches the Rfam family "Bacterial small subunit ribosomal RNA", at positions 72 to 525 of the family's 1533-position model. The record is from RNAcentral.